RNA transcript from Maniola jurtina (meadow brown), 3256 nucleotides. It is a transcript of the gene named palmitoyltransferase ZDHHC2-like, with no coding region annotated. Lineage: Eukaryota; Metazoa; Arthropoda; Insecta; Lepidoptera; Nymphalidae. The transcript has 9 exons. The record is from RefSeq and is a predicted model, not a curated record.
AUCUCUGUCAUUUUGGUUUAGUUUUUGUCUAUGGUCACUUAGUUCUAGUUGAGUAUGGAUAUUUUCAUAAUAAAUUAACAUUUAAAUGGCUUCUUCGAUGCAAAAUAAUAGAGUGUCGCCUCCAGGAUAUUGCGGGUGUUGCAGAACUUGCAACAUGUGGUGCUGGAGGGCUUUCAAAUGGCUCCCAGUACUGUUAAUAGUGGCUAUAGUGACAUGGUCAUACUAUGCCUACGUUUACCAGUUGUGCUUUUGUACCAUUGAGAGUACAGUUCAGCAAUGUAUAUAUCUGUUUCUUUAUCACGUAUUGCUGAUAAUGUUUGCGUGGUCUUAUUGGCGAACUAUUUUUGCUGAUAUCAAACCAAUUCCAGACAAGUACAAACUACCAGAAGCAGAGUUGGAAAAGUUGCUUAGUGCAGAAACUGAGGAUGCUCAAAGGACAAUUUUAGAGAACUUUGCAAAAGAUCUCUCCAUAGUUACUAGGACAAUGUCCGGCUCAGUGCGCUACUGCAACCGCUGUGUGCUGGUGAAACCCGACCGCGCGCAUCACUGCAGCAUCUGCGCGCGCUGCGUACUUAAAAUGGACCACCACUGCCCCUGGGUCAACAACUGUGUCUGCUUCCACAACUACAAGUUCUUUAUGCUCUUCCUGGGCUACGCGCUGCUCUACUGUCUCUUCAUCAUGUCCACGUGUCUGCCUUACUUCAUCAGGUUUUGGAAGGGAGAAUUCGGCAUCUCGGGCAGCGCCGGGCGCUACCACAUAGUGUUCGCGUUUUUCGUGGCGCUCAUGUUCGCGAUCUCGCUCGGCUCGCUCUUCGGCUACCAUUGUUACCUUGUCGCGCACAACAGAACAACCUUAGAAGCGUUCCGAGCGCCUAUGUUCCGUGGCGGCGCAGAUAAGAACGGGUUUUCCAUGGGUGCCUACAAUAAUUUCAAGGAAGUAUUCGGCGCCAGCCCCAACCUCUGGGUAGUGCCUGUGUUCACAAGCGCGGGGGACGGGUGCGAGUUCCCCGUGCGGCGCGAGCACCAGCUGCAGCCGUUCAGCGCGCCGCCCGACCACGGCUACGACGCCAUGGGCACCACGCGCGCCAGGUCAGAGCCCGGCGACUCGCCCGCGCCGCUGCCGCUAGAGCCCUCCAAACACAUACCUUGACGUCUAUCCGAGAAAUACUCUAGGCGAACCGUAGUUUCGGAUUUUUCUGAUAAUUGUAGUGCUAGCAGCUCGGAAUCGGUAUCCUCAGUUACCGAAACGAAAUAGCGCGUUCAAUUCACCAGUUAAGUAAAUUGACGUACCUCUGCUAAAUACUUUUUGAAUCGGUAUUUUUAAUUCUUGAAAGAAUAGCAUUUCUUACAUCGGGUAAUUUUCAAUCUUCAUCGGGAUUUUUCUGAUAGUCGGUAUUCUCAGUUACCGAAACGAUACCGUGUUUCCACUAUCGGUAUGUUUUCAAUCUUCAUCGGGAUUUGUCUGAUAAUCGGUAUUCUUAGUUACCGAAACGAUAGCGCGUUGCCUUCAUCUGUUUUUUUUUUUACUUAUUGUAUCUUACUGAUAUUUAGUUUACUGUAAAUUGGGUCGCAGUUUAAAAAAAAAUCGGGAGGUUUGAGAUUCACCAUAGCUCCACCAGAAGCUAGACCAUUUUUACCGCUCAUUGAUACAUAAUAAGCGCUUGAUAAGCUUUCAAUACAAACCGAUACCGCACCCACAAUUUGGAAGAGAACGUCAAGGUAUUUCUGAACUUCCUUUCACUAUAUAUUUUAAAAUAGUCAGACAUUGAAGAAGUCCAUUGUGUGUUAUUUGGCAAUUAAUAUAUUCAGUCUAUUUUUUCUCAAAGCUAUUUGUAAUGUUCAAAUGAUACUAUCUCUCCGAAUAUCAAGGAGUUUUGUUUUUUUUUUUUGUCGAAUUUAAAUUAUAAUUAGGUACUGACGUUCCGUUUUAUGAACUAAAAAUAUUCUUCAAUAAUUAAUCUUAUCAAUAAUAAAUUCGCGUACUCUGCUGCACUGCAUUUCAUUUCCUGUGAAUGUAUUUUACGGAUUUUAGGAAUACUUUUAUUUUUAUCGAUUUUUCAAAAAUACUCGUUAGCUAUCCACGUUUUAGCAAUACGUUAUUUAUACAGAAUAACUAGCUGGUGCCCGCGACUUCGUUCGCGUGGAUAGAGGUUUUCUAAAAAUCCCGUAGGAACUCUUAAAUUUUCUGGGAUAAAAGGUAACCUAUGUUCUUUUCCAUGUCAAAGGCUACAUGCAUGUCCAUCCAAAUCCGUUCAGCCGUUUUUCGUGAUUGAGUAACAAACAUCCAAACAUCCACACUUUCACAUUUAUAAAAUUAGGAGGAUUCCUCAACCUAUAAAUGCGCACCUUUAUAUAGUACUUUUAUACCUUUAUAUAAUCUUUAUAUAGUAUUAAUGAAUAGAAAUAUGACAAUAAUAUUAGGUUAGUCAAAUUGAAAGAUCUUACAUUGAAUUGGUGCGUAAAAAAUAUUAGAUAGACAAAAUCGUUUUUCAUUUCUCAAAUAUAUUAAUUAUUGCAGAUGUUAAUAUCAAGUUUUUUAGUAAUCGACGAAUAGUAUUUUAGUAAAUUCAAAUAGAUAAAUCGAACGUUAAAUGACCAAAUAGAUUCAGCUUGCCAUCACGUGCCAAACAAAGCUUUUUUAUAAUAUACCUACUUAGGUAUUCAUACGUCCAGUAAACCUACUUAAAAUAUUUUUUAUAUUAUUCAGUAAGUUACUUAAAGUUAAAAUAUUUGUGUUUGUUGAGUAAUAAUUUCGAAUAUAUUUGUCUCAGUAAAAUUUGAAAAUUAGUUAGUAAAUAAGGCGUACCAUAUUUUGUAUCAUGGAAUUGAGUAAAAUCGAUGUAAGUAUCACUUAUGGUACAAAACUUCAAUAAUUUAGAACUUUAGUUUAUUAUUCUUUAACGAUUAAUUACAUGGCCAUUGUGUUGUACCCAUAAUAAGAAUGUUAUGAAUCUAAAAAUAAUAAAUCUAAAUUAGUUAAAUUAAAAAUCCGAAACUUUAAUUCUCGUUUGACAUCUAUUUCUCUGGUAUACCUCAAGUAUGUGUAGGGAGGGAGGAUCACAUUUUUCUAAAUACAAUAUUAAUAAUGAAUUUAUAUUGAAUUUUUAUCUUUGAUCUAUGGAUAUAUACAUAUUGCUUGUAAACGCAUUUAUUUUUGGAGCUAUUAUACAACACACAAGACUGAUGAAGUUAGAAUGAAUUCUGUUUGUAUUUUGUAAGUUUGUAUUUGUGCACAAUAAACUUGUUUUGUUGUUAA